Molecule: long non-coding RNA, 1168 nt
Filed under: Calidris pugnax (ruff)
Lineage: Eukaryota; Metazoa; Chordata; Aves; Charadriiformes; Scolopacidae
Description: lncRNA (ENSCPUG00000012085.1)
Source: RNAcentral
GGCAGUGCUGGUGCUGCUUUCCAUAUCACUAACCGGGAGCGCAAUAAAUAGCGUUCGGCUCGUUGUAAGGCUCCUGAAAUGAAUGUGUGCAGGGACUCGGGUUAGCCCUUCUCUCCGGUGCAGGAGGGGUGUCUGCUGCUGGAUACCUCCACCUUUCUCUCCUGCCUUCACUGCUGGGGCUGCUGGGCUCCAGUGGGUCGAGUGGCGCUGCCCAACUUCUCACCAGCCUUGCAGGUAGAGGAGAAUCCGUAACAAGAUUGGGGAGAAAAAGAAGAUACAAGGUUGUUGUUUUUUUCCAGUCCAUGGAAAAGUAACCUGUUGGAUUAUCAUCUGGAAACUGUGGAAAGUACCAACAUGAGCAACGAGGGGCCAGUGAACCCCGGCACAUCUACAGUGCCUGAGGGCCUGAAGAGAAAGAGGGGAAGACCAAAGAAGCAGCCCCAGGAGGAGGCUGUGGGACCGUUGCCAGCAAAGAAACCACGAGGAAGACCAAAAGGAAGCAAGAAGGUGACUGCUGUAUCUGGACAAAUGGUAGAGUCUUCUGGGAAAAGGCCAAGAGGGAGGCCCCGCAAGUGGCCCAAACCAGUGGCCCAAGAAGGAGCGUCUCAGGAAGGAAAUCCUCAGGGAAGCAGUGACUGGAAUUUGAACUCAGCGCCAGCCACCCAAGGCAUCACUGGAAAAGACGGUUCCAGGCCCGGCAAAACUACUGGUGUUAGGAGAUCUCUGAGCAACAUCCCUGCCACAGCUCAGUAGUAUGCCACCUGUUCAUGUCCUGCUGAAGCCAAAGGACUGGAAAUCAAACUGGAUUUUUAAUGUCACACUUCAGAUUCUUCCGUUGUGAUAGUUUUGGUCAAACUGGAUUUUUAAUGUCAUACUUCAGAUUCUUCCGUUGUGAUAGUUUUGGCCAAGCUUUCUCUCCGGUUGUCUGCUGGCUUACCCCAAACAUAGAACAGGGACUUAGGGGAAGAAAUGGCAAAUGCCUUGUUGGAGAGAUGCUUUUCACAGUUUGUAGUGUAUGUCUUUUGUGAAGUUAUUAAUCUUUCUUAAAAAUACUUGGAUAACACGGUGCCUUGCCCUGCCACGGACAGCAAUAGUUCAACAGAAAGGUAGCAUUGACUCAGUAAUGCAGAAUGCAGUACAGGAAACCUAUUUACACAGCUAAUUGCUG